UGGCCUACGGGGGGCAGCAGUGAGGAAUAUUGGGCAAUGGGCGCAAGCCUGACCCAGCCAUGCCGCGUGAAGGAUGAAUGCCCUAUGGGUUGUAAACUUCUUUUGUACGGGACGAAACUUCCGGUCGUGACCGGGAUUGACUGUACCGUACGAAUAAGCAUCGGCUAACUCCGUGCCAGCAGCCGCGGUAAUACGGAGGAUGCAAGCGUUAUCCGGAUUCAUUGGGUUUAAAGGGUGCGUAGGCGGAAUAAUAAGUCAGUGGUGAAAGCCUGCGGCUUAACCGUAGAAUUGCCAUUGAUACUGUUGUUCUUGAGUAUAGUUGAGGUGGGCGGAAUGUGUAAUGUAGCGGUGAAAUGCUUAGAUAUUACACAGAACACCAAUUGCGAAGGCAGCUCACUAAGCUGUUACUGACGCUGAGGCACGAAAGCGUGGGGAGCAAACAGGAUUAGAUACCCUGGUAGUC
This 463-nucleotide ribosomal RNA is filed under the name uncultured Bacteroidales bacterium. Its description in RNAcentral is "bacterial SSU rRNA". It matches the Rfam family "Bacterial small subunit ribosomal RNA", at positions 335 to 795 of the family's 1533-position model. The record is from RNAcentral. Lineage: Bacteria; Pseudomonadati; Bacteroidota; Bacteroidia; Bacteroidales.